AGAGUUUGAUCAUGGCUCAGAUUGAACGCUGGCGGCAGGCCUAACACAUGCAAGUCGAACGGUAACAGGAAGCAGCUUGCUGCUUUGCUGACGAGUGGCGGACGGGUGAGUAAUGUCUGGGAAACUGCCUGAUGGAGGGGGAUAACUACUGGAAACGGUGGCUAAUACCGCAUAACGUCGCAAGACCAAAGAGGGGGACCUUCGGGCCUCUUGCCAUCAGAUGUGCCCAGAUGGGAUUAGCUUGUUGGUGAGGUAACGGCUCACCAAGGCGACGAUCCCUAGCUGGUCUGAGAGGAUGACCAGCCACACUGGAACUGAGACACGGUCCAGACUCCUACGGGAGGCAGCAGUGGGGAAUAUUGCACAAUGGGCGCAAGCCUGAUGCAGCCAUGCCGCGUGUAUGAAGAAGGCCUUCGGGUUGUAAAGUACUUUCAGCGGGGAGGAAGGUGUUGUCGUUAAUAACCACAGCAAUUGACGUUACCCGCAGAAGAAGCACCGGCUAACUCCGUGCCAGCAGCCGCGGUAAUACGGAGGGUGCAAGCGUUAAUCGGAAUUACUGGGCGUAAAGCGCACGCAGGCGGUCUGUCAAGUCGGAUGUGAAAUCCCCGGGCUCAACCUGGGAACUGCAUUCGAAACUGGCAGGCUUGAGUCUUGUAGAGGGGGGUAGAAUUCCAGGUGUAGCGGUGAAAUGCGUAGAGAUCUGGAGGAAUACCGGUGGCGAAGGCGGCCCCCUGGACAAAGACUGACGCUCAGGUGCGAAAGCGUGGGGAGCAAACAGGAUUAGAUACCCUGGUAGUCCACGCCGUAAACGAUGUCUACUUGGAGGUUGUGCCCUUGAGGCGUGGCUUCCGGAGCUAACGCGUUAAGUAGACCGCCUGGGGAGUACGGCCGCAAGGUUAAAACUCAAAUGAAUUGACGGGGGCCCGCACAAGCGGUGGAGCAUGUGGUUUAAUUCGAUGCAACGCGAAGAACCUUACCUGGUCUUGACAUCCACGGAAGAAUUCAGAGAUGGAUUUGUGCCUUCGGGAACCGUGAGACAGGUGCUGCAUGGCUGUCGUCAGCUCGUGUUGUGAAAUGUUGGGUUAAGUCCCGCAACGAGCGCAACCCUUAUCCUUUGUUGCCAGCGGUCCGGCCGGGAACUCAAAGGAGACUGCCAGUGAUAAACUGGAGGAAGGUGGGGAUGACGUCAAGUCAUCAUGGCCCUUACGACCAGGGCUACACACGUGCUACAAUGGCGCAUACAAAGAGAAGCGACCUCGCGAGAGCAAGCGGACCUCAUAAAGUGCGUCGUAGUCCGGAUUGGAGUCUGCAACUCGACUCCAUGAAGUCGGAAUCGCUAGUAAUCGUGGAUCAGAAUGCCACGGUGAAUACGUUCCCGGGCCUUGUACACACCGCCCGUCACACCAUGGGAGUGGGUUGCAAAAGAAGUAGGUAGCUUAACCUUCGGGAGGGCGCUUACCACUUUGUGAUUCAUGACUGGGGUGAAGUCGUAACAAGGUAACCGUAGGGGAACCUGCGGUUGGAUCACCU
Molecule: ribosomal RNA, 1530 nt
Filed under: Salmonella enterica subsp. enterica
Lineage: Bacteria; Pseudomonadati; Pseudomonadota; Gammaproteobacteria; Enterobacterales; Enterobacteriaceae
Description: bacterial SSU rRNA
Rfam family: Bacterial small subunit ribosomal RNA
Source: RNAcentral